GACGAACGCUGGCGGCGGGCUUAACACAUGCAAGUCGAACGGAAAGGCCCUGCUGUUGUGGGGUUCUCGAGUGGCGAACGGGUGAGUAACAAGUGAGUAACCUGCCCUUGGCUUUGGGAUAACUUCAGGUAACUGGGGCUAAUACCGGAUAGUAGCUCCGGCAGAAUGGUGGGGGUGGGAAAGGUUCGGCGGUUGGGGAUGGACUCGCGGCUUAUCAGAUUGUUGGUGGGGUAGUGGCGUACCAAGGCGUUGACGGGUAGACGGCCUGAGAGGGUGACCGGCCACAUUGGGACUGCGAGACGGCGCAGACUCGUACGGGAGGCAGCAGUGGGGAGUCUUGCACAAUGGGCGGACGUCUGAUGCGGCAACGUUGCGUGUGGGAUGUCGGCUUUCGGGUUGUAAACCGCUUUCGCCUGUGACGAAGCGUGAGUGACGGUACUGGGUAAAGAAGCACCGGCUAACUACGUG
RNAcentral lists this ribosomal RNA (468 nucleotides) under uncultured bacterium. RNAcentral describes it as "partial 16S ribosomal RNA". It matches the Rfam family "Bacterial small subunit ribosomal RNA", at positions 28 to 507 of the family's 1533-position model. The record is from RNAcentral.